This 73-nucleotide transfer RNA is filed under the name Bos indicus x Bos taurus (hybrid cattle). It matches the Rfam family "tRNA". Rfam says of the family: Transfer RNA (tRNA) molecules are approximately 80 nucleotides in length. Their secondary structure includes four short double-helical elements and three loops (D, anti-codon, and T loops). Further hydrogen bonds mediate the characteristic L-shaped molecular structure. tRNAs have two regions of fundamental functional importance: the anti-codon, which is responsible for specific mRNA codon recognition, and the 3' end, to which the tRNAs corresponding amino acid is attached (by aminoacyl-tRNA synthetases). tRNAs cope with the degeneracy of the genetic code in two manners: having more than one tRNA (with a specific anti-codon) for a particular amino acid; and 'wobble' base-pairing, i.e. permitting non-standard base-pairing at the 3rd anti-codon position. The record is from Rfam by way of RNAcentral. Lineage: Eukaryota; Metazoa; Chordata; Mammalia; Artiodactyla; Bovidae.
GCCCUGGUGGUCCAGUGGCUAAGACUCGGUGCUUCCAACUCAGGAGGCAUGGGUUCAAUUCCUGUUCAGGGAA